RNAcentral lists this ribosomal RNA (422 nucleotides) under uncultured bacterium. RNAcentral's name for it is "bacterial SSU rRNA". It matches the Rfam family "Bacterial small subunit ribosomal RNA", at positions 355 to 774 of the family's 1533-position model. The record is from RNAcentral.
UAAGGAAUAUUGGUCAAUGGACGCAAGUCUGAACCAGCCAUGCCGCGUGGAGGAUGAAGGCCCUCUGGGUUGUAAACUUCUUUUAUAUGGGACGAAAAAGGGUCUUUCUAGAUCAACUGACGGUACCAUGUGAAUAAGCACCGGCUAACUCCGUGCCAGCAGCCGCGGUAAUACGGAGGGUGCAAGCGUUAUCCGGAUUCACUGGGUUUAAAGGGUGCGUAGGUGGGUUGGUAAGUCAGUGGUGAAAUCUCCGAGCUUAACUUGGAAACUGCCAUUGAUACUAUCAGUCUUGAAUAUUGUGGAGGUCAGCGGAAUAUGUCAUGUAGCGGUGAAAUGCUUAGAUAUGACAUAGAACACCAAUUGCGAAGGCGGCUAUCUGGACGGUUACUGACGCUAAGACUCGAAAGCGUGGGGAGCAAACA